UACGUAUGAUCCGAGCAUUAUCCGGAGUGACUGGGUGUAAAGAGUUGCGUAGGUGGCAUAGAAAGUCGGUAGUGAAAUCUGGUGGCUCAACCAUUCAGGCUAUUGCCGAAACUUCUAAGCUCGAGACCGUUAGGGGUAACUGGAAUUUCUAGUGUAGGAGUGAAAUCCGUAGAUAUUAGAAAGAACACCGAUAGCGUAUGCAGGUUACUGGGACGGUUCUGACACUAAGGCACGAAAGCGUAGGGAGCAA
Molecule: ribosomal RNA, 250 nt
Filed under: uncultured prokaryote
Description: partial 16S ribosomal RNA
Rfam family: Bacterial small subunit ribosomal RNA
Source: RNAcentral